Molecule: long non-coding RNA, 296 nt
Organism: Bufo bufo (common toad)
Lineage: Eukaryota; Metazoa; Chordata; Amphibia; Anura; Bufonidae
Exons: 3
Source: RefSeq, a predicted model, not a curated record
GAUUUCCACCAACUCCUGCGGAGGAAGGGGCGUCUUGACAUCCCCAGUGCAAGAUUCUACGCCGCAGAACUUGUGUGUGGAAUUCAAUAUCUGCAUUCUAAGGGCAUCAUCCACCGAGAUCUCAAGCCUUCCAACAUCCUGGUGACUGAAACGGGCCAUAUUAAGAUUGCCGACUUCGGUCUGGCACUUGAGAACAUCUAUGGAGACCGAACAGCCACAGAAUACACUGGAACACCGGGCUUCAUUGCUCCUGAGAUCCUGGCUGCGGAGGAGUACAAUGCUGGAGUAGACUGGUA